GGUGGGCAAACAGAGAUUCCCCUGUACCCUGCGGAGAUCAAGCGACCAAGGCCAGGGAGGACUCGGAGCUAGCGACGCACCCCACUGAGGGCAGAGCCCAGCAUCCCCAGAGCAGCAGGCCGUGGGUGGCCAGCUGCACUGACUCCCUUUGUCCUCUCUCACGGCCAACCCCAGCAUCCUCGCUGCUCUCUGACCCGGAGAAGGAUUCCACGGAAGACAACAAUUCCGACGAAAGGAGCCACCCUGCGCCUCUCUCGAGAAGCUUCCCUUCGGUGGACAUGGUGCAAACGACAAGGGAAGCAGAAGAAGAGGAGGACUCGGGAACGGGCUGCGCCACAGGACAGUGUGCCCACCACCCCGAGGCACCAGAGGCUCCUGGGGUGCUCCGACAAAGGGAGCCAGGAGGGCCCUGGGGCCCCACUUGCGGCUCCGAUUUGGGCCCGGAGGAGGAUUCGGCAUGAGCACACAAGGAAACACGCCUGCAGGGACGGCUCUCUUACGCCUGACCUCCGAAGGCCAAAGAGAAGACUUCAGGGCAGCCCACCCGAGGACGGCACUGGA
Molecule: long non-coding RNA, 561 nt
Organism: Neogale vison (American mink)
Lineage: Eukaryota; Metazoa; Chordata; Mammalia; Carnivora; Mustelidae
Exons: 3
Source: RefSeq, a predicted model, not a curated record